AUGCAUGUCUAAGUUCACACCCUCGUACGGUGAAACCGCGAAUGGCUCAUUAAAUCAGUCGAGGUUCCUUAGAUGAUCCAAAUCUACUUGGAUAACUGUGGUAAUUCUAGAGCUAAUACAUGCCAACCAGCUCCGACCCUCACGGGAAAGAGCGCUUUUAUUAGUUCAAAACCAGUCGGGCUUCGGUCCGUCCUUUGGUGACUCUGGAUAACUUUUUGCCGAUCGCAUGGCCUCGAGCCGGCGACGCAUCUUUCAAAUGUCUGCCCUAUCAAAUGACGAUGGUACGUGAUCUGCCUACCAUGUUUGCAACGGGUAGCGGGGAAUCAGGGUUCGAUUCCGGAGAGGGAGCAUGAGAAACGGCUACCACA
Molecule: ribosomal RNA, 368 nt
Filed under: Cerithiidae sp. USNM IZ 1448056
Lineage: Eukaryota; Metazoa; Mollusca; Gastropoda; Cerithiidae
Also listed under: 8 other names
Description: SSU rRNA
Rfam family: Eukaryotic small subunit ribosomal RNA
Source: RNAcentral